UACCCUGGUAGUCCACGCUGUAAACGAUGUCGAUUUGGAGUUUGGGGGCAUGACCCUUGGGCUCCGGAGCUAACGCGUUAAAUCGACCGCCUGGGGAGUACGGCCGCAAGGUUAAAACUCAAAUGAAUUGACGGGGGCCCGCACAAGCGGUGGAGCAUGUGGUUUAAUUCGAUGCAACGCGAAGAACCUUACCUGGUCUUGACAUCCAUAGAAUCUUUCAGAGAUGAGAGAGUGCCUUCGGGAGCUAUGAGACAGGUGCUGCAUGGCUGUCGUCAGCUCGUGUUGUGAAAUGUUGGGUUAAGUCCCGCAACGAGCGCAACCCCUAUCCUUUGUUGCCAGCACGUAAUGGUGGGAACUCAAAGGAGACUGCCGUUGAUAAAGCGGAGGAAGGUGGGGACGACGUCAAGUCAUCAUGGCCCUUACGACCAGGGCUACACACGUGCUACAAUGGCGUAUACAAAGGGAUGCGAAGGUGCGAACUGGAGCGGACCUCACAAAGUACGUCUAAGUCCGGAUUGGAGUCUGCAACUCGACUCCAUGAAGUCGGAAUCGCUAGUAAUCGUGAAUCAGAAUGUCACGGUGAAUACGUUCCCGGGCCUUGUACACACCGCCCGUCACACCAUGGGAGUGGGUUGCACCAGAAGUAGAUAGCUUAACCUUCGGGAGGGCGUUUACCACGGUGUGGUUCAUGACUGGGGUGAAGUCGUAACAAGGUAACCA
This 720-nucleotide ribosomal RNA is filed under the name uncultured Enterobacteriaceae bacterium. RNAcentral describes it as "bacterial SSU rRNA". It matches the Rfam family "Bacterial small subunit ribosomal RNA", at positions 783 to 1502 of the family's 1533-position model. Lineage: Bacteria; Pseudomonadati; Pseudomonadota; Gammaproteobacteria; Enterobacterales; Enterobacteriaceae. The record is from RNAcentral.